RNAcentral lists this ribosomal RNA (249 nucleotides) under uncultured organism. RNAcentral's name for it is "partial 16S ribosomal RNA". It matches the Rfam family "Bacterial small subunit ribosomal RNA", at positions 355 to 619 of the family's 1533-position model. The record is from RNAcentral.
UGAGGAAUAUUCUGCAAUGGACGAAAGUCUGACAGAGCAAUACCGCGUGAAGGAUGAAGGCCUACGGGUUGUAAACUUCUUUUCUCAAGGAGGAAGAAAUGACGUUACUUGAGGAAUAAGCAUCGGCUAACCCUGUGCCAGCAGCCGCGGUAAUACAGGGGAUGCAAGUGUUAUCCGGAAUUAUUGGGCGUAAAGCGUACGUAGGCGGCUUAUCAAGUCUGGGGUUAAAGACCACAGCUUAACUGUGGG